Arabidopsis lyrata subsp. lyrata is the source of this 2324-nucleotide RNA transcript. It is a transcript of the gene named CTD small phosphatase-like protein 2, with no coding region annotated. NCBI's taxonomy places the organism in Eukaryota, Viridiplantae, Streptophyta, Magnoliopsida, Brassicales, Brassicaceae. The transcript has 6 exons. The record is from RefSeq and is a predicted model, not a curated record.
CGGUAUUUAACGUUUCUUAGCAAUUUUAUUUUGUUUUUAUCGGUAGACUUGUGGUGGAGAAGAGUUUGAGUUUGUGAAAAUGAUCAAAAAUUCUAUUACAGAUCCGUAUGUUUAUCUUACUAGAUUCUGUCUUCUUCAUCAAGAAGCUGACUUUGUUUUGCAGCAUCGAUCUUGAGACCAUUCCUUUUGCAGACUAUGCCAAUGCCAUUUUUGAAAAUGAAGAGCAAGAUAAGCAAAGACUCGUUUAGAGAAAAAAGGGUUCUUGGUGUUUGUAAGAAAUUACCUCAUAAGGAUUUAAAAAAUUCAUGCUUUGAUUCCAAAAAAUCGGAGAGAAUGGAACAUUUGGUCACUGCUUCUCAGAAUUGCCACAACAAUGAGGAACAAGAUUUAGGUUUGGAUUCUUCUACUAGGGAUGUUGAAACAAACGAACCCGAAGACCUGCUAGUUGAAGACACUUCCAAUAAUGCGUCGAAUAUGGAUACAAUAUUUUCACCUGUUCUGGAUGAUGAACUGUAUUCAGAAACUGGUCGAGUAUUUGUGGAAGGAAACAAUGUGCAAUGGGAAAUGCCUAGGUGGGGAGCUGAUGAGAGCAGCAGCAACAAUCAAUCUUGCAACGAUUCUGAUUACUUUCUUUCUGAUGUGCUGAUUGCAAGCUUGCCAUUCUAUGAGAGUGGAAAUGUUGAUUUUUUCACUGAGAUAAGUCCCUUGCCUCGUUGCAUCUUUCCAGAGCCAAGUGUGUUAUUAGAUGUAGCUGAGCAGUACAUGGUAUUACCUUACUUAGAAGAUGGAUCAGCCAGCAGUGAUGAUGUUAAGUCUUAUGAGGACAGCGGGGGUAAUGUCGAUAAACAUGACUUGUUUAUGGCAUUCAACUGGUCAAGAUCACAAAACUUGGAAGCAGCAGAUGCUCACGCUGAAGCUGAACAAACUGAAGAUUUUGAUCCACAGCUUUUCUUAAGAAAUCAACCGGAGUUAGCUGAUGUGGUAUCCAAUUAUUUCCCUGAUAUGCAGCAGCCUAGGGAAUCCCCGAAAAGGAAGGCGGUAACCCUUGUUCUUGAUUUGGAUGAAACUCUGGUCCAUUCGACUCUGGGAGCCUGCAGAGAUACAGACUUUUCCUUCAGAGUCACUUUCAAUAUGCAAGAGAACACUGUUUACGUGAAACAAAGGCCACACCUUUAUAGGUUCUUAGAGAGGGUCAUUGAACUUUUUCAUGUUGUCAUCUUCACGGCUAGUCACAGCAAUUAUGCGUCUCAACUUCUAGAUAUAUUGGAUCCAGAUGGGAAGUUUGUAUCGCAACGUUUUUACCGGGAUUCAUGCAUUCUUUCAGAUGGGAUUUAUACCAAGGAUUUAACUGUUUUGGGUCUUGAUCUAGCAAAAAUGGCUAUAAUUGACAACUGUCCACAGGUGUACAGAUUGCAAAUAAACAAUGGGAUCCCUAUCAAAAGUUGGUACGAUGAUCCAACUGAUGAUGGUCUGAUUACAUUACUUCCCUUCUUAGAGACAUUGGCUGAUGCCAACGAUGUUCGUCCUGUCAUCGCCAAGAGAUUCGGUAACAAGGAAUAAGAAAUCUCUUCCUUUUGUUUCCUCUAUACCUUGAGUGCAGAUUCUGGAUUUCUUUUACAGAUUUAGUCAUAGACUAGUUUAGUUCCUCAAGACUUGUUAGGUGCUAUUUAAUUAGUUAACCAUAGAAUAAUGCUCGGUGAUGUUAGUACACAAGUAAGCGGAACCCUUGUCUUAGCCAGGAUAAGAAUAGAUCAUUGGAAUCUUAACACUCUGUUCUAAAUGUACAGUUGGUGAAGCUGAGAUACUGAAUGUAUAAAAGUGAGUAUUUUUUGAGUGAAAUAUCAGUUUUGGAGGUUAACAACAGCCUUUAUCUCCUUGUGGUAAAUCCAAACUGUUGGUUAGAUCUUUGUACUCUGCAUUGUCAAUAAUAUAAAUGAAGAGAGGUAUCUCGAACCUUGUUUUCGUGAAUUUAUCGAAUUUUCUAGCUUCUGUGGUCUUUCAGAAAGGAGGAAUAUCGUCAUCAUCGGGGGACUGGAUCUGGUGGUUCCAUGAUCAUUCAACAAGUUAUUUUGAUUAGGCGUAAGGAAGUGACCUGACUUUGUUCUGCUCUGUGUUAACAUGUCUCUUUCAGAGUUGUCUAAUGGUCCAAAGCUCCCUGACAAACUUGCCAAUAUGUAAAUCUAUAGAAUGUUUAACUUGUUUUCAUUAAAAUUUGUUGGUCAUAUUUUGUUGUUAGUAGGUAAAUAAACCAAAACAGUCAAGAGGAAUCUUAUUUCUUAACGUUGUUUCUUAUGAACCAAAAAGGUCAUUGAUUUCUUACAUAA